UGGGGGUAUGGGGGAGCAAAUAAGAACCUUAAACCCUUCCUUUGAUUUCAAUUUGCCAUAACUUUCGAUCCGGAGUUUCGAUUGUCGCACCGUUUGCAACCACGCGUUCGUAGUGACGAGCUCUAUCAAACUCAGUACCUUUCAGGAAUCAAACGGACUUGAGAAAUUGGUAGGUUUUGGCUUAAUUGAAUCACAUAUACGGUGUAUAUAUGUAUAUGUUGGAGCUUGAAUUGUGAGUUUUGGAAUUCGAUGGAGUUUGGGUGACGUGCAUUAGUGAUUUUGGACCUUCUGGACUGUGUUUGGUGCUUUGGUGGCAUGUCUUGGGUUAUUCGGAAAAUCGGCCAAGGUAUUGUUUAGGUUUCCCAUAUUUAAUAUAUAAUGUUCUGUGAAAACUUAGGUUAGAGAAUCAUAGGAUAAGAUGGAAUGAUUAUGUAUGUUGAAUGUUUAGUAAUUAUGAUAUCGAUUGAUGAUGGGGAUUAAACAUGUGUUGGUGAUUAUGGUUAUGGUGGGGAUAUAAUGCCUCCUUGGUGUUUUAAUAUUGUUGAUAAAUUGGUGAUAUUGAUUAUAUGUAUGUAUGAUAACAUGUUGGUGAUUUUAUUGUUGGAAAUAAGAAGUUCAAGGUGUGAAUUGGGUAAACAUAGAAGUAUAAUGGUUUGUGAUAUGAUAAGUGGUUAGUGGUGUUGUAUAGGAUUGCUAUGAAGUGUGUUUGUACUGGAUAUAUAUAUAAGUUAUGGGGAUUGAAUGUAGUCAUAAUAAAAUUGAGGUUUGAGCUUGGAAAAAUUAGUUUUUGACCGAAUUUUGGUGAGCCAAAACUUGGCUUCCGGACCUCCAAAUAAUUUCAAACUUAUUUUGUAUAAAAAUUGGGUCCGUGAAAUUUACACCGUUCGAAAAAUGGAUGAAAAAUAUUUUAAAACGAAAAAGUUAUGCGCGUCGAAAGUUUGAGGUUUUAAAUUGAAAUUCUACAGAUUUCAGACUUAGCCAAAUUUUUGGCCAAAUGUCCUUUCAUGCGUACGCAUACAGGGGACAUACUGAUAAACCCCAAUUUUGUGAUUUAU
Molecule: non-coding RNA, 1055 nt
Organism: Arachis ipaensis
Lineage: Eukaryota; Viridiplantae; Streptophyta; Magnoliopsida; Fabales; Fabaceae
Source: RefSeq, a predicted model, not a curated record